RNAcentral lists this transfer RNA (71 nucleotides) under Cordylochernes scorpioides. RNAcentral describes it as "tRNA-Gly". It matches the Rfam family "tRNA". From Rfam's summary of the family: Transfer RNA (tRNA) molecules are approximately 80 nucleotides in length. The record is from RNAcentral. Lineage: Eukaryota; Metazoa; Arthropoda; Arachnida; Pseudoscorpiones; Chernetidae.
GCAUCGGUGGUUCAGUGGUAGAAUGCUCGCCUGCCACGCGGGCGGCCAGGGUUCGAUUCCUGGCCGAUGCA